CGGAUGCUGACGAGUGGCGAACGGGUGAGUAAUACAUCGGAACGUGCCCGAGAGUGGGGGAUAACGAAGCGAAAGCUUUGCUAAUACCGCAUACGAUCUCAGGAUGAAAGCAGGGGACCGCAAGGCCUUGCGCUCACGGAGCGGCCGAUGGCAGAUUAGGUAGUUGGUGGGAUAAAAGCUUACCAAGCCGACGAUCUGUAGCUGGUCUGAGAGGACGACCAGCCACACUGGGACUGAGACACGGCCCAGACUCCUACGGGAGGCAGCAGUGGGGAAUUUUGGACAAUGGGCGCAAGCCUGAUCCAGCCAUGCCGCGUGCAGGAUGAAGGCCUUCGGGUUGUAAACUGCUUUUGUACGGAACGAAAAGACUCCUUCUAAUAAAGGGGGUCCAUGACGGUACCGUAAGAAUAAGCACCGGCUAACUACGUGCCAGCAGCCGCGGUAAUACGUAGGGUGCGAGCGUUAAUCGGAAUUACUGGGCGUAAAGCGUGCGCAGGCGGUGAUGUAAGACAGAUGUGAAAUCCCCGGGCUCAACCUGGGAACUGCAUUUGUGACUGCAUCGCUGGAGUGCGGCAGAGGGGGAUGGAAUUCCGCGUGUAGCAGUGAAAUGCGUAGAUAUGCGGAGGAACACCGAUGGCGAAGGCAAUCCCCUGGGCCUGCACUGACG
This 667-nucleotide ribosomal RNA is filed under the name Acidovorax sp. HTCC356. RNAcentral describes it as "bacterial SSU rRNA". It matches the Rfam family "Bacterial small subunit ribosomal RNA", at positions 82 to 745 of the family's 1533-position model. Lineage: Bacteria; Pseudomonadati; Pseudomonadota; Betaproteobacteria; Burkholderiales; Comamonadaceae. The record is from RNAcentral.